RNAcentral lists this non-coding RNA (71 nucleotides) under Lentisphaerota bacterium. RNAcentral's name for it is "Lentisphaerae bacterium Fluoride sequence". It matches the Rfam family "Fluoride riboswitch aptamer (crcB RNA motif)". The record is from RNAcentral. Lineage: Bacteria; Pseudomonadati; Lentisphaerota.
AAAUAAAAAGGCUAUGAGGUCAGCCGAAACCGUCUGAGCGAAGAACUCGGAAUGAUGACUUCUAUUUAGGG